This 763-nucleotide long non-coding RNA is filed under the name Ornithorhynchus anatinus (platypus). Its description in RNAcentral is "lncRNA (ENSOANG00000035261.2)". Lineage: Eukaryota; Metazoa; Chordata; Mammalia; Monotremata; Ornithorhynchidae. The record is from RNAcentral.
AGAAGAACUAGGAGUUCCGAUUUGCUAGCAUGAAAAAUAACUUUCCUGAAGUAACUAUUGUGUUUCCCUUUCUUACCAUAGUUUGGACACCUUUAAGCCCCUCGAAGCUGGUGAGAUUACGUCAGAAGACGGAGGUGACUAAAAUAUAAGGGAAAAAAAUAACUUCAGAGUGUCCCAGUUCCCCAGAGUAUCUGCCUAAUGGACCACGAACUGGAUGGGAGACUGCAGAAGGGCUGCUGUUCAAAAGCAGGAUGACUCCAAUGUAUGCCACCGUGAGGAUGCUUCCAGAGCCCUCAGUCAGUGAUUCAGCAGUGUGUGCCGAGCAUCCACUGGAAAAACACUACAGAAGAAUAAAAUAUUAUUUGAUGUCUAAUGGGCACCCUCCCAGCUAACCUGAAAGAAACUAGGAUGAGUGCCAGCCCCUGCUUUCAUUUCCCAGUUCUGAAAUGGCUAUGUAUGUCACAACCUGUGAGUCUGGAAACUCAGCACUCUCGACAGGGAACAGGUCUUCCCUGGUUGCUUCUGGGGCUGCUGGCCUUGGGGAUCUCUGCUAACCUCCCCAGGAAACUAUCUGCGGGCAAGAGUUUCUCUUUUGAUGCAGUUGUGGUUUUGCAAGUCUGUCUCUUUAGGAUUCUGAGACUGCAACCAGCUGUGGAAUGUGAUCAAGUGAUGGGAUCCUGAGAUGGAGAGGAAAGAGACAAUAGAACUACCAAAAUGGAAAAAGGUUAGUAUUUUCCAUAUUCAUUAAUGGCUUACUUGAGUU